CCGAAGCUAACGCAUUAAGUUCCCCGCCUGGGGGAGUACGGUCGCAAGGCUAAAACUCAAAGGAAUUGACGGGGGCCGCACAAGCGGUGGAGCAUGUGGUUCAAUUCGAUGCAACGCGAAAAACCUUACCUGGGUUUGACAUCCUUUGACAGUCCCUGAAAGGGGAUCUUCCCGAUUUAUCGGGACAAAGUGACAGGUGCUGCAUGGCUGUCGUCAGCUCGUGUCGUGAGAUGUUGGGUUAAGUCCCGCAACGAGCGCAACCCUUGUCUUUAGUUGCCAAUAUUAAGUUAGGCACUCUAAUGAUACUGCCCCGGUUAACGGGGAGGAAGGUGGGGAUGACGUCAAGUCCUCAUGGCCUUUAUACCCAGGGCUACACACGUGCUACAAUGGGCUAUACAAAGGGCUGCCACUCUGCAAAGAGGAGCUAAUCCCAAAAAGUAGUCCUAAGUUCGGAUUGGAGUCUGCAACUCGACUCCAUGAAGCUGGAAUCGCUAGUAACCGUGGAUCAGCAUGCCACGGUGAAUACGUUCCCGGGGCCUUGUACACACCGCCCGUCACACCACGAAAG
RNAcentral lists this ribosomal RNA (568 nucleotides) under uncultured bacterium. RNAcentral describes it as "bacterial SSU rRNA". It matches the Rfam family "Bacterial small subunit ribosomal RNA", at positions 846 to 1410 of the family's 1533-position model. The record is from RNAcentral.